UGAGAUAUUGUUAUAAAGAAUUAAUUGUUACAAACAUAAUGGUGUAAUCGGAUCAUAAAUUAGAUGAGUAAUUUAAUAGAAAAUUCCAUAAGAAGAAAAAAUACAUGCACUUUUGGGUGUACAAGUAACAAUAGAUAUGAGAUUGAGGUAGCUGGUUAUAACAAUACAGAGAACGGUCUCGUUGUAGACACGUCCUUGCGAGUGAGAAUUGAGGAGACGGAGUCUAGGAAAGAGAGGCUUUCCGCUCACUGCAACUACCUCCUUUUUCAUUGUCACAACUACGACAAAAACUAUGGAAACAUAGAGAGGCAACUCAGAAUUAAUUUAUUUUUUAAAACUUCAUCUAUUCUUUUGAACCUCAAAAAAGAUAGGGAGCUUAUGCUUUCAUUAAGUAAAAGAGAGUUGACCAAUAGAGAAAAAAUGGGUCCAAAAAACUUACAACUACGCAGCAUACAACUGGUGAAAAUCAGUAAAAACCCAUGCAUAGAAGCAAAGAACUAAAAAUUUCGGCGUCACGACUACUGAAUUUCAGCAUUGACAAAUUUUAAAUUGUUUUUGUCCAUUGAUUUUGGCAUCUAAUUAAACAUACCUUUUGCAAAGAAACAACACAAAUCAACCUGGCUACACACACAGGAACAGCCAGUAACAUCUCUAUAUAUUAGUGGUGUUGGCAGUGAAUCUACCACUCAAUUACCCUUUAAACUUUUUCAUAUUAAAUUAAAUUAUGUUUUCCUCUUUUAGGCCAUUGUCUUAUGGAAGGAUGAAGACGGCGAUGAUGUAAUUGUAUGUCUAGGAUCAACGUAAUUGAGCACUGAAUUAUGCUCAGGCCGGCAAAAGCAGCUAGCUAGCCUACUGACUUUAUGCCUGCUAUAAUUUGUGCUUUUGGUCCAUCGCUAGAGAUAAGAACAUCUUAAGAAUAGACAAUCACUAGUGGUCUCCACUCUCCGCUCUCCAUUUCAUUAAAGUUACCAUUAUCAGAGAGAGAGAUAUUUUUUCCUAAUCGCCCACCUCUAAUAUAUAUGUCCUUUUGGUCCCUCCUCUUUCUUUAAACAAAUAAUUUUCCUUAUUAUCCAACUACAGAGAAUCCUACUUUUGCAAAAAGCUUGCCAAGCCCCAAUAAUUACCCGGAAUAAGCAUACUAAAAGAAAGCACUCCCUCCGUUCUAAAAUAAGUGACUAACUUUAUCAUGUAUAGGCUAUAUUAGGAAAGCUGGGAGGUAAAUGAUACUCCUUAUUAAAUGAGGGAUGUAUAUGAGUGAGAGGGUAGUUGGAGGUAAGAUAUAUGAGAAAAAAAAGUUAAAUAAGAAGUACUCUCUCAUUCCCUAAAUAUUUGACACCGUUGACUUUUUUAAACAUGUUUGACCGUUCAUUUUAUUCAAAAACUUUUGUGAAAUGUGUAAAACUAUAUGUAUAAAAAAAGUAUAUUUAACAAUAAAUCAAAUGAUAUGAAAAAAAUUAAUAAUUAUUUUUUCCUAAUCGGCCACCUCUAAUAUAUCUGUCCUUUUGGUCCCUCCUCUUUAUUUAAACAAAUAAUUUUCCUUAUUAUCCAACUACAGAGAAUCCUACUUAUGCAAAAAGCUUGCCAAGCCCCAAUAAUUACCCAGAAUUUCUGCUCCACUUGGCCAAAAGCAUACUAAAAGAAAGCACUCCCUCCGUUCUAAAAUAAGUGACUAACUUUAUCAUGUAUAGUCUAAAUUACAAGGAAAGCUGAGAGGUAAAUGAUACCCCUUAUUAAAUGAGGGAUGUAUAUGUGUG
This 1754-nucleotide long non-coding RNA is filed under the name Oryza sativa (Asian cultivated rice). RNAcentral's name for it is "long non-coding RNA (OSAT_LNC001455)". The record is from RNAcentral. Lineage: Eukaryota; Viridiplantae; Streptophyta; Magnoliopsida; Poales; Poaceae.